Molecule: ribosomal RNA, 314 nt
Filed under: uncultured bacterium
Lineage: Bacteria
Description: bacterial SSU rRNA
Rfam family: Bacterial small subunit ribosomal RNA
Source: RNAcentral
GACGAACGCUGGCGGCGUGCCUAACACAUGCAAGUCGAACGGAAGUAAGUGCUUCGGUAUUUACUUUAGUGGCGAACGGGUGAGUAACACGUGGGGAACCUGCCCCUAAGUCUGGGAUACCAUUUGGAAACUGGUGCUAAUACCGGAUAAUAAAGCAGAUCGCAUGAUCAGCUUUUGAAAGGCGGCGUAAGCUGUCGCUAAGGGAUGGCCCCGCGGUGCAUUAGCUAGUUGGUAAGGUAACGGCUUACCAAGGCGACGAUGCAUAGCCGAGUUGAGAGACUGAUCGGCCACAUUGGGACUGAGACACGGCCCAA